AAUGGAUCAGAGGUCUCAGGAUGCAGAGCCAUUGCCAAUUUUAUUUGUUGUUUGGACAUCUAUAUCCUUCCUCUGUGAAUACAGAAAGCAGUAUUUUGCAUAAAGCCAGCUUACAUCACUGCUAGUUGAAGUCAGAGAAGGCACUAACCCUCUUAGCCGAAAGAACCUAAAGUGAAGAAAGGAAUUCCCCCUCCCUUGGUUUUCAACAAUUGUUCCUUUCAUUCCAAGUGCAGCUGGGAGUAGGGAAACUACAGGCAAUGGGAAUGUCAGAACUGGUGCAAUACAAGAACUCAUAGGCUAUACAUAUACAGCUGUAUUUUUUAAUGAUUUCUUAUAGCUGCCACACCAACAGAAAACACGUUCUUUACCAAUUAUAAGAUUUUUCAGUAAAUAAUGCUCCAAACAUUAUUAUAUUUUUGCAGGUUAAAUAGUCUAUAGAUAUGAUGAUGGGGAAAAAAACCCUAACACAUACAAGCAGUCAAGGAUCAUAUGGAUGCCUGUGAAAAGUGUUAUGAUUGUGGUUGAAAGGGGAAAUCUGCAGAAAUCAGGAGUCAGAAACCAGAAACAGCUGCUGGCUGAUCUUCAGAGUGCAGUCCUGAAAUGCCCUUAUUAGGUGAAAGGAAGAUGCUAGCUCACAUUGGAUUAGGAAAAGCCAGGAGAGAUCAAACUACUCCUAUUGUUGCUCAUCGGCUUUCCACCGCUCAGACUGCAGAUGUAAUAGUGGGCAUUGUGGAUGGCGCAGUGGUUGAAAUGGGAACACACACAGAGUUGAUGGAGAAAAAGGAGCCGUAUUAUUCACUUGCAACCUCACAGUUUGAAUAAGUGAUACUAGAGGAAAUAAUAAGCAUAGAAGAUCCUAAGGAUGCAUUGAACACCAACAGCUUGAAACCAAAUACAGCAAAUAGGAAAUCAUGCUCCAUAAUGAGAAGAUGAAGGAUCAGCCCUUCAAAAGGCGAUGAUUUACACUGGCUGAGUAGGUGCAAAAGUCUCACUGAAUUUCAGAAUAGCUAGCAUGAAGAGGAUAAACAUUUGUGAAACAGUGGAGCUGCAGAAUCUCCAUCCCUGGGGUCAGUGAAAAGUCAAGCAGAGAAGCCCCAAGCAACUGGCUCUGAGCACAGGUUGGAUUGGAUGACCUCUGGAGACCCCAUUCUAACUGAUGAGUUUCUGUGAAUCUGUGAUGCUAAUGAUAGCUCCUGCACAUCCACUUUCAUACUGACACCACUUCUUCAGAAGAAUGCAUCAAAGACUAUUUCUGUAGCAGUUAGGAGACCAAUUUUCUUUUUCUAUAAUAAAAUUAGUGUCAUUGAUUCAAUACAGUUAAGGUGACUUUGGUUGCUGCCUGUGGCUCCAGAAAAAUACUAUGGAAUGGUUCAGAUCUGUUUCCUCACUCUCACCAGCCACCUUGUUCUUUGCUAUUUCAGAAUUCUUCUGUUUUAUUCUUACUGUACGUGCUAAAGAAAACAUCUGGAUGAGUUUUCCUUAAAAAAAAAAUUGGAAACAACCGCUAUUUCAUUGUUUUAAUUUUUUAUUUCUGUUUUAUAGGAAUCUCUGUCCCAAAUUUAUUGCCUGAAGAUACUGAAAUUAAACAAGCAUGAAUGGUCAUUUAUUUGGCUGUGAGCACUUGCCAUAGUUUGAAGAGUGCUUGGUCCCUUAUUUUCCAUCAUGCUUGCUGAAACUAACGAUAAGCAAUGAAGUGAUAUUUCCCCCCCAUAA
This is an RNA transcript of Cuculus canorus (common cuckoo), 1713 nucleotides long. It is a transcript of the gene named phosphatidylcholine translocator ABCB4-like, with no coding region annotated. NCBI's taxonomy places the organism in Eukaryota, Metazoa, Chordata, Aves, Cuculiformes, Cuculidae. The transcript has 5 exons. The record is from RefSeq and is a predicted model, not a curated record.